UGGGGAAUCUUCCGCAAUGGACGAAAGUCUGACGGAGCAACGCCGCGUGAGUGAAGACGGCCUUCGGGUUGUAAAGCUCUGUGAUCCGGGACGAAAGAGCCUGAGGUGAAUAGCCUAAGGAAGUGACGGUACCGGAAAAGCAAGCCACGGCUAACUACGUGCCAGCAGCCGCGGUAAUACGUAGGUGGCAAGCGUUGUCCGGAAUUAUUGGGCGUAAAGUGCGCGCAGGCGGCUUCCUAAGUCCAUCUUAAAAGUGCGGGGCUUAACCCCGUGAUGGGACGGAAACUGGGAAGCUGGAGUAUCGGGGAGGAAAGUGGAAUUCCUAGUAUAGCGGUGAAAUGCGUAGAGAUUAGGAAGAACACCGGUGGCGAAGGCCACUUUCUGGACGAAAACUGACGCUGAGGCGCGAAAGCGUGGGGAGCAAACAGG
Molecule: ribosomal RNA, 429 nt
Filed under: Fusobacteriota bacterium
Lineage: Bacteria; Fusobacteriati; Fusobacteriota
Description: Fusobacteria bacterium partial 16S ribosomal RNA
Rfam family: Bacterial small subunit ribosomal RNA
Source: RNAcentral